RNAcentral lists this unclassified non-coding RNA (210 nucleotides) under Hevea brasiliensis (rubber tree). The record is from RNAcentral. Lineage: Eukaryota; Viridiplantae; Streptophyta; Magnoliopsida; Malpighiales; Euphorbiaceae.
AGUAAAUGGAAGUGAUAUUCGCCCAUGGUGGAUAUACCAUCACUAUUGUGCAAUGUUGAUGGCUUUAGUGAGUCUUACUUGGGAGAUUAAAGGACAACCUGAUUGUGCCUACAAGCAGAGAGGGGUACAACUGUUUUUGGCAUGGGCAAUGAUGCAAGGUGUCGCGAUGCUUCUACAAAACAGAUAUCAACGCCAAAGACUGUAUACUCG